This 384-nucleotide ribosomal RNA is filed under the name Triticum aestivum (bread wheat). Its description in RNAcentral is "partial small subunit ribosomal RNA". The record is from RNAcentral. Lineage: Eukaryota; Viridiplantae; Streptophyta; Magnoliopsida; Poales; Poaceae.
AUGUUCAGGUGGUCGGAUGCUGAGGUGGGCAUUGAUGUUUCUAGGGCUCCAAGGGUGCUUGUGAUGUCCAAGGACUUUCUGCGCAGCAAGUCAGAGUUUCUCAUCUCCGAGGUGGGAUUGGAGCCGGCCUACAUUGCUCAAAGGCCGGCAAUUCUCACUCUUAGCCUAGAUGGCCGUCUUAGGCCCCGACACUACAUUAUGAAGUUUCUCAAGGAUAAUGGAUUACUGGAGAAUGAUCGGAGCUACUAUGUCGCAGUCGUAGUGAGUGAUAACGAUUUCAUGAAGAAGUACAUAUGCCCUUACCAGGAAGCUGUGCCGCACCUCGCUCAAGACUAUGCUGCUGCUUGCAAAGGGGAAGUGCCGACUAUUUUCAGAUUCACAUGA